UACGUAGGGGGCAAGCGUUGUCCGGAUUUAUUGGGCGUAAAGAGCUCGUAGGCGGUUCGGCAAGUCGAAUGUGAAAUCUCCACGCUCAACGUGGAGGGGUCAUUCGAUACUGCCGUGACUUGAGUACGGUAGGGGAGUGUGGAAUUCCCGGUGUAGCGGUGAAAUGCGCAGAGAUCGGGAGGAACACCCGUAGCGAAGGCGAGUCCCUGGACACUACCUGACACUGAGGCACGAAAGCUAGGGGAGCAAACAGG
This 254-nucleotide ribosomal RNA is filed under the name uncultured bacterium. RNAcentral describes it as "partial 16S ribosomal RNA". It matches the Rfam family "Bacterial small subunit ribosomal RNA", at positions 524 to 776 of the family's 1533-position model. The record is from RNAcentral.